GCAGCACAGCGCCCUGCGGGCUGCCCUCAGGAAGAUCAUCGACAAGGAGAUUAAUCCUUUCGUGGACAAAUGGGAAGAAGAAGGACAGUUCCCAGCACAUAAAGUAUUUAAAAUCCUAGGACAGGCUGGAUUUCUUGGUGUGGAUAAGCCAACAGCUUGCAGCCCACAGAAGCAUGUACAGGACAAGAAGUGAUGAUAUACACAAUAAAACCAGAGAAAGUUG
This is a non-coding RNA of Tinamus guttatus (white-throated tinamou), 223 nucleotides long. The record is from RefSeq and is a predicted model, not a curated record. Lineage: Eukaryota; Metazoa; Chordata; Aves; Tinamiformes; Tinamidae.